AAAACUUUCAACAACGGAUCUCUUGUUUCUGGCAUAGAUGAAGAACGCAGCGAAAUGCGAUAAGUAAUGUGAAUUGCAGAAUUCAGUGAAUCAUCUGAUCUUUGAACGCACAUUGCGCCCCUUGGUAUUCCGGGGGGCAUGCCUGUUCGAGCGUCAUUA
RNAcentral lists this ribosomal RNA (159 nucleotides) under Lasiodiplodia theobromae. RNAcentral's name for it is "5.8S ribosomal RNA". It matches the Rfam family "5.8S ribosomal RNA". Rfam says of the family: 5.8S ribosomal RNA (5.8S rRNA) is a component of the large subunit of the eukaryotic ribosome. It is transcribed by RNA polymerase I as part of the 45S precursor that also contains 18S and 28S rRNA. The record is from RNAcentral. Lineage: Eukaryota; Fungi; Ascomycota; Dothideomycetes; Botryosphaeriales; Botryosphaeriaceae.